Molecule: ribosomal RNA, 2923 nt
Filed under: Avibacterium paragallinarum
Lineage: Bacteria; Pseudomonadati; Pseudomonadota; Gammaproteobacteria; Pasteurellales; Pasteurellaceae
Description: 23S ribosomal RNA
Rfam family: Bacterial large subunit ribosomal RNA
Source: RNAcentral
GUUGUAUAGUUAAGUGAGAAAGCGUACAGGGCGGAUGCCUUGGCAAUCAGAGGCGAAGAAGGACGUGCUAAUCUGCGAAAAGCGUGGGUGAGUUGAUAAGAAGCGUUUAACCCACGAUGUCCGAAUGGGGAAACCCGAUAGGCGAAGAGCCUAUCAUUGCGAGGUGAAUAAAAUAGCCUCGUAAGGCGAACCGGGAGAACUGAAACAUCUAAGUACCCCGAGGAAAAGAAAUCAACCGAGAGAUUGUGAGUAGCGGCGAGCGAAAGCGGAGGAGCCAGUAAGUAAUAGCAGCAGAGAUAGAGGAAUUGUCUGGGAAGGCAAGCGACACAGGGUGAUAGCCCCGUACUUAAAAUCCAGGCUGUGGUACUAAGCUUACGAGAAGUAGGGCGGGACACGAGGAAUCCUGUCUGAAGAUGGGGGACCAUCCUCCAAGGCUAAAUACUCCUGAUUGACCGAUAGUGAACCAGUACUGUGAAGGAAAGGCGAAAAGAACCCCGGUGAGGGGAGUGAAAUAGAACCUGAAACCCUGUACGUACAAGCAGUGGGAGCCCGCAAGGGUGACUGCGUACCUUUUGUAUAAUGGGUCAGCGACUUAUAUUUUGUAGCGAGGUUAACUGAAUAAGGGAGCCGAAGGGAAACCGAGUCUUAACUGGGCGGUGAGUUGCAAGGUAUAGACCCGAAACCCGGUGAUCUAGCCAUGGGCAGGUUGAAGGUUGGGUAACACUAACUGGAGGACCGAACCGACUAAUGUUGAAAAAUUAGCGGAUGACCUGUGGCUGGGGGUGAAAGGCCAAUCAAACCGGGAGAUAGCUGGUUCUCCCCGAAAUCUAUUUAGGUAGAGCCUUGUGUGAAUACCUUUGGGGGUAGAGCACUGUUUCGGCUAGGGGCCCAUCCGGGUUACCAAACCGAUGCAAACUCCGAAUACCAAAGAGUAAUGCACAGGAGACACACGGCGGGUGCUAACGUCCGUCGUGGAGAGGGAAACAACCCAGACCGCCAGCUAAGGUCCCAAAAUCUAUAUUAAGUGGGAAACGAAGUGGGAAGGCUUAGACAGCUAGGAUGUUGGCUUAGAAGCAGCCACCAUUUAAAGAAAGCGUAAUAGCUCACUAGUCGAGUCGGCCUGCGCGGAAGAUGUAACGGGGCUAAAAUAUAGUACCGAAGCUGCGGCAUCAAUCGAAGGAUUGUUGGGUAGGGGAGCGUUGUGUAAGCGGAAGAAGGUGGUUCGAGAGGAUUGCUGGACGUAUCACAAGUGCGAAUGCUGACAUAAGUAACGAUAAAACGGGUGAAAAACCCGUUCGCCGGAAGACCAAGGGUUCCUGUCCAACGUUAAUCGGGGCAGGGUGAGUCGGCCCCUAAGGCGAGGCUGAAAAGCGUAGUCGAUGGGAAACGGGUUAAUAUUCCCGUACUUGGUAAAGCUGCGAUGUGGGGACGGAGAAGGUUAGGUUAUCGACCUGUUGGAUAUGGUCGUUUAAGUUGGUAGGUGGGUGAGUUAGGUAAAUCCGGCUCACCGUUAACACUGAGAGAUGAUGACGAGGCACUAAGGUGCUGAAGUAACUGAUACCACACUUCCAGGAAAAGCCACUAAGCUUCAGGCUUUACUAAACCGUACUGAAAACCGACACAGGUGGUCAGGUAGAGAAUACUCAGGCGCUUGAGAGAACUCGGGUGAAGGAACUAGGCAAAAUAGCACCGUAACUUCGGGAGAAGGUGUGCCGGCGUAGAUUGUAGUGACUUGCUCACGAAGGUUGAACCGGUCGAAGAUACCAGCUGGCUGCAACUGUUUAUUAAAAACACAGCACUCUGCAAACACGAAAGUGGACGUAUAGGGUGUGAUGCCUGCCCGGUGCUGGAAGGUUAAUUGAUGGUGUAAUCGAAAGAGAAGCUCCUGAUCGAAGCCCCAGUAAACGGCGGCCGUAACUAUAACGGUCCUAAGGUAGCGAAAUUCCUUGUCGGGUAAGUUCCGACCUGCACGAAUGGCAUAAUGAUGGCCAGGCUGUCUCCACCCGAGACUCAGUGAAAUUGAAAUCGCCGUGAAGAUGCGGUGUACCCGCGGCUAGACGGAAAGACCCCGUGAACCUUUACUAUAGCUUGACACUGAACCUUGAAUUUUGAUGUGUAGGAUAGGUGGGAGACUAUGAAGCGGUAACGCCAGUUAUCGUGGAGUCGUUGUUGAAAUACCACCCUUUAACGUUUGAUGUUCUAACGAAGUGCCUGAAACGGGUACUCGGACAGUGUCUGGUGGGUAGUUUGACUGGGGCGGUCUCCUCCCAAAGUGUAACGGAGGAGCACGAAGGUUUGCUAAUGACGGUCGGACAUCGUCAGGUUAGUGCAAUGGUAUAAGCAAGCUUAACUGCGAGACAGACAAGUCGAGCAGGUGCGAAAGCAGGUCAUAGUGAUCCGGUGGUUCUGAAUGGAAGGGCCAUCGCUCAACGGAUAAAAGGUACUCCGGGGAUAACAGGCUGAUACCGCCCAAGAGUUCAUAUCGACGGCGGUGUUUGGCACCUCGAUGUCGGCUCAUCACAUCCUGGGGCUGAAGUAGGUCCCAAGGGUAUGGCUGUUCGCCAUUUAAAGUGGUACGCGAGCUGGGUUUAGAACGUCGUGAGACAGUUCGGUCCCUAUCUGCCGUGGGCGUUGGAGAAUUGAGAGGGGCUGCUCCUAGUACGAGAGGACCGGAGUGGACGCAUCACUGGUGUACCAGUUGUCUCGCCAGAGGCAUUGCUGGGUAGCUAAAUGCGGAAGAGAUAAGUGCUGAAAGCAUCUAAGCACGAAACUUGCCUUGAGAUGAGUUCUCCCAGUCUAUAAGACUGUAAGGGUUGUUGGAGACUACGACGUAGAUAGGCUGGGUGUGUAAGCGGUGUGAGCCGUUGAGCUAACCAGUACUAAUUGCCCGAGAGGCUUAACUAUACAACGCUCAAGGGUUUUG